AUUGUUUUCCUUCAGAAGUGGUAGGUUGGGGUGCCCUCCCGUCAGUGGGGGAGGAAGGGGGGAGAGAGAGAGAGAGAGAGGAGGGCGGAGAGAGGAGGGAGACGGGGGGAGAAAGAGAGAGGAGAAGAGAAGGGAGGCGGCGAGGGAAGAGCGAGCGCGGGGCUGCUCCGGAGCUAGCAGAACCUCCUAGGACAGCGGCCCCAGCCGGGCCUCAGCAGCUUGCGUGGUCGGAGGAGAAGCAGCUGCCACCGCGGCCGCCAGAGCCCGGCCUCGCGCGCCCCUUGCCGCCGGCUCGCGGGUGCCUGUGCGGCCCCGGGACUCCGCUGCCCGCUCAGCCAGCGGCCGGGAUGCAGCCGGGGCAUGGCCGCCGGCCCCCCGUCACCUGCCGCGGGGAGCGCUGAGCCCGUUGAAAUUCUGUCUGUGAGAACCUAACCUUCUUCCUGUGAUACCUGCUCUUCCCUGGCAACCCUCCUUGCCAAGGACCAUCCAGAAAUAGCCCCUCUGGGGCCUCCCUGUACAGCAAAGCAGACGUCUCCUCCCACUACCAGGUAGGGCGGCCCCACGUGUCCACCGUGCCCAUCCCCAGAGUUUGCAUCUGUGGAGGAAACACGGUCUGAUGCCGAGAUUUUAUUUUACAGAAAGGGUUGUGGCUGGGGGCAUUCUGUGCUGGUCUCCAGUUUUCAGGUCAUGGUGUCUGUGGGGUAGGACGGGGAGUGUUGAUGGUAGUCCAGGAAGGUAUGGGGUAGAGUUUUGAAGGAGUGACCAUUCUUACCCUGAAGCCCAUCAGCCUGGCUGCGGGGC
Molecule: long non-coding RNA, 801 nt
Filed under: Callithrix jacchus (white-tufted-ear marmoset)
Lineage: Eukaryota; Metazoa; Chordata; Mammalia; Primates; Cebidae
Description: lncRNA (ENSCJAG00000080196.1)
Source: RNAcentral